GACGAACGCUGGCGGCGCGCCUAACACAUGCAAAUCGAACGAGCGAGAGAGAGCUUGCUUUCUUGAGCGAGUGGCGAACGGGUGAGUAACGCGUGAGGAACCUGCCUCAAAGAGGGGGACAACAGUUGGAAACGACUGCUAAUACCGCAUAAGCCCACGGUGCCGCAUGGCACAGAGGGAAAAGGAGCAAUCCGCUUUGAGAUGGCCUCGCGUCCGAUUAGCUAGUUGGUGAGGUAACGGCCCACCAAGGCGACGAUCGGUAGCCGGACUGAGAGGUUGAACGGCCACAUUGGGACUGAGACACGGCCCAGACUCCUACGGGAGGCAGCAGUGGGGAAUAUUGCACAAUGGGGGAAACCCUGAUGCAGCGACGCCGCGUGGAGGAAGAAGGUCUUCGGAUUGUAAACUCCUGUUGUUGGGGAAGAUAAUGACGGUACCCAACAAGGAAGUGACGGCUAACUACGUG
Molecule: ribosomal RNA, 466 nt
Filed under: uncultured bacterium
Lineage: Bacteria
Description: partial 16S ribosomal RNA
Rfam family: Bacterial small subunit ribosomal RNA
Source: RNAcentral